Molecule: ribosomal RNA, 397 nt
Filed under: uncultured bacterium
Lineage: Bacteria
Description: partial 16S ribosomal RNA
Rfam family: Bacterial small subunit ribosomal RNA
Source: RNAcentral
AUACGUAGGGGGCGAGCGUUGUCCGGAAUGAUUGGGCGUAAAGGGCGCGUAGGCGGCCCGGUAAGUCUGGAGUGAAAGUCCUGUUUUUAAGAUGGGAAUUGCUUUGGAUACUGUCGGGCUUGAGUGCAGGAGAGGUAGGUGGAAUUCCCAGUGUAGCGGUGAAAUGCGUAGAGAUUGGGAGGAACACCAGUGGCGAAGGCGACUUACUGGACUGUAACUGACGCUGAGGCGCGAAAGUGUGGGGAGCAAACAGGAUUAGAUACCCUGGUAGUCCACACUGUAAACGAUGAAUGCUAGGUGUAGGGGGUAUCGACCCCUUCUGUGCCGCAGUCAACACAAUAAGCAUUCCGCCUGGGGAGUACGGCCGCAAGGUUGAAACUCAAAUGAAUUGACGGGG